UGGACAUGAUAAAGAGAUGAAUCUAAAUGCCCACAGCAUAACUACCAACACUGACUCUUUGAAAUGAAGUCUCACACUGUAAUAUAGAUAUUAUUAUAUUUUGUUGAACUUACUUCCCGUUUAGCAUUGAAAAUGAAUACUAAAUUGGUGAAAAACUUGAGCUAUAUGAAUAACAUCCAAUAAAAAUAAGAAAAUGCAUUUUAUAACACGUUUCACUAUAGAAAAAGUUUG
RNAcentral lists this unclassified non-coding RNA (231 nucleotides) under Hevea brasiliensis (rubber tree). The record is from RNAcentral. Lineage: Eukaryota; Viridiplantae; Streptophyta; Magnoliopsida; Malpighiales; Euphorbiaceae.